GACAGAGGGUGCUAGCGUUGUUCGGAAUCACUGGGCGUAAAGGGCGUGUAGGCGGCGGGGUAUGUCCGGUGUGAAAUCCCUCGGCUUAACCGAGGAAUGGCAUCGGAAACUACCCCACUAGAGUGCGAGAGAGGGUGGCGGAAUUCCCGGUGUAGAGGUGAAAUUCGUAGAUAUCGGGAGGAACACCAGCGGCGAAGGCGGCCACCUGGUUCGCAACUGACGCUGAGACGCGAAAGCGUGGGGAGCAAACAGG
RNAcentral lists this ribosomal RNA (253 nucleotides) under uncultured Anaeromyxobacter sp. RNAcentral's name for it is "partial 16S ribosomal RNA". It matches the Rfam family "Bacterial small subunit ribosomal RNA", at positions 524 to 776 of the family's 1533-position model. The record is from RNAcentral. Lineage: Bacteria; Pseudomonadati; Myxococcota; Myxococcia; Myxococcales; Anaeromyxobacteraceae.